UUAAUUGAAGCCAAAAUAGAGGCAAUUCACUGUUAAUGAAUUAAUUGAAUAAUUAUCCAAUUAAA
This 65-nucleotide transfer RNA is filed under the name Noterus clavicornis. Its description in RNAcentral is "tRNA-Asn". The record is from RNAcentral. RNAcentral also lists the same sequence under 1 other name. Lineage: Eukaryota; Metazoa; Arthropoda; Insecta; Coleoptera; Noteridae.